ACUCCUACGGGAGGCAGCAGUAGGGAAGUCUUCCACAAUGGGCGCAAGCCUGAUGGAGCAACACCGCGUGAGUGAAGAAGGGUUUCGGCUCGUAAAGCUCUGUUGUUAAAGAAGAACACGUAUGAGAGUAACUGUUCAUACGUUGACGGUAUUUAACCAGAAAGUCACGGCUAACUACGUGCCAGCAGCCGCGGUAAUACGUAGGUGGCAAGCGUUAUCCGGAUUUAUUGGGCGUAAAGAGAGUGCAGGCGGUUUUCUAAGUCUGAUGUGAAAGCCUUCGGCUUAACCGGAGAAGUGCAUCGGAAACUGGAUAACUUGAGUGCAGAAGAGGGUAGUGGAACUCCAUGUGUAGCGGUGGAAUGCGUAGAUAUAUGGAAGAACGCCAGUGGCGAAGGCGGCUACCUGGUCUGCAACUGACGCUGAGACUCGAAAGCAUGGGGUAGCGAACAGGAUUAGAUACCCUGGUAGGAUAGCG
RNAcentral lists this ribosomal RNA (475 nucleotides) under uncultured bacterium. RNAcentral's name for it is "bacterial SSU rRNA". It matches the Rfam family "Bacterial small subunit ribosomal RNA", at positions 335 to 801 of the family's 1533-position model. The record is from RNAcentral.